This 477-nucleotide ribosomal RNA is filed under the name uncultured bacterium. Its description in RNAcentral is "partial 16S ribosomal RNA". It matches the Rfam family "Bacterial small subunit ribosomal RNA", at positions 355 to 822 of the family's 1533-position model. The record is from RNAcentral.
UGGGGAAUUUUGGACAAUGGGCGAAAGCCUGAUCCAGCAAUGCCGCGUGUGUGAAGAAGGCCUUCGGGUUGUAAAGCACUUUUGUCCGGAAAGAAAUCCUUGGCUCUAAUACAGUCGGGGGAUGACGGUACCCGGAAGAAUAAGCACCGGCUAACUACGUGCCAGCAGCCGCGGUAAUACGUAGGGUGCAAGCGUUAAUCGGAAUUACUGGGCGUAAAGCGUGCGCAGGCGGUUUGCUAAGACCGAUGUGAAAUCCCCGGGCUCAACCUGGGAACUGCAUUGGCUGACUGGCAGGCUAGAGUAUGGCAGAGGGGGGUAGAAUUCCACGUGUAGCAGUGAAAUGCGUAGAGAUGUGGAGGAAUACCGAUGGCGAAGGCAGCCCCCUGGGCCAAUACUGACGCUCAUGCACGAAAGCGUGGGGAGCAAACAGGAUUAGAUACCCUGGUAGUCCACGCCCUAAACGAUGUCAACUAGUUG